UUGCAUGAGGGAUAGAAGUGGAAAUCCUUUUUGUUUUUUCAUUAAAAACAAAAAGAUUGGAACGGAAAGCCCGACCCAGA
This 80-nucleotide small RNA is filed under the name Flavobacterium sp. fv08. RNAcentral's name for it is "Flavo-1 RNA". It matches the Rfam family "Flavo-1 RNA". RNAcentral also lists the same sequence under 1 other name. The record is from RNAcentral. Lineage: Bacteria; Pseudomonadati; Bacteroidota; Flavobacteriia; Flavobacteriales; Flavobacteriaceae.